Molecule: transfer RNA, 73 nt
Filed under: Candidatus Melainabacteria bacterium
Lineage: Bacteria; Bacillati; Candidatus Melainabacteria
Description: tRNA-Ala
Rfam family: tRNA
About the family: Transfer RNA (tRNA) molecules are approximately 80 nucleotides in length. Their secondary structure includes four short double-helical elements and three loops (D, anti-codon, and T loops). Further hydrogen bonds mediate the characteristic L-shaped molecular structure. tRNAs have two regions of fundamental functional importance: the anti-codon, which is responsible for specific mRNA codon recognition, and the 3' end, to which the tRNAs corresponding amino acid is attached (by aminoacyl-tRNA synthetases). tRNAs cope with the degeneracy of the genetic code in two manners: having more than one tRNA (with a specific anti-codon) for a particular amino acid; and 'wobble' base-pairing, i.e. permitting non-standard base-pairing at the 3rd anti-codon position.
Source: RNAcentral
GGGCCCAUAGCUCAGUUGGUAGAGCGUUUCGUUCGCAACGAAGAGGUCGGGAGUUCAAGUCUCCUUGGGUCCA